This 90-nucleotide small nuclear RNA is filed under the name Mustela putorius furo (domestic ferret). RNAcentral's name for it is "U2 spliceosomal RNA". It matches the Rfam family "U2 spliceosomal RNA". Rfam says of the family: U2 is a small nuclear RNA (snRNA) component of the spliceosome (involved in pre-mRNA splicing). Lineage: Eukaryota; Metazoa; Chordata; Mammalia; Carnivora; Mustelidae. The record is from Rfam by way of RNAcentral.
AUUGCUUCUUGGCCUUUUGGCUAAGAUCAAGUGUAGUAUUUGUAAGACAUACACACAGACACACAUAGUUAUUAAAUAAUUGGACUACUC